GCAAGUCGAGCGGUAACAGGUGUAGCAAUACAUGCUGACGAGCGGCGAACGGGUGAGUAAUGUUUCGGAAUCUGCCUAAUGGUGGGGAAUAACCAGCCGAAAGGUUGGCUAAUACCGCAUAAGCCCUACGGGGGAAAGCGGGGGAUCGCAAGACCUCGCGCCGAUGGAUGAGCCGAAACCGGAUUAGCUAGUUGGUAGGGUAACGGCCUACCAAGGCGACGAUCCGUAGCUGGUCUGAGAGGACGACCAGCCACACUGGGACUGAGACACGGCCCAGACUCCUACGGGAGGCAGCAGUGGGGAAUAUUGGACAAUGGGGGAAACCCUGAUCCAGCGACGCCGCGUGUGUGAAGAAGGCCUGCGGGUUGUAAAGCACUUUUAGUGGGGAUGAAAAGCUCAGGGCUAAUACCGCUGAGUCUUGACCUAACCCAAAGAAAAAGCACCGGCUAACUCUGUGCCAGCAGCCGCGGUAAUACAGAGGGUGCAAGCGUUAAUCGGAAUUACUGGGCGUAAAGCGUGCGUAGACGGUUAUGUAAGUCGGGUGUGAAAGCCCCGGGCUCAACCUG
This 566-nucleotide ribosomal RNA is filed under the name uncultured bacterium. RNAcentral's name for it is "bacterial SSU rRNA". It matches the Rfam family "Bacterial small subunit ribosomal RNA", at positions 57 to 616 of the family's 1533-position model. The record is from RNAcentral.